UACGGAGGGGGCUAGCGUUGUUCGGAAUUACUGGGCGUAAAGCGCACGUAGGCGGCUUUGUAAGUCAGAGGUGAAAGCCUGGAGCUUAACUCCAGAACUGCCUUUGAGACUGCAUCGCUCGAAUCCGGGAGAGGUGAGUGGAAUUCCGGGUGUAGAGGUGAAAUUCGUAGAUAUUCGGAAGAACCCCAGUGGCGAAGGCGGCUCACUGGACCGGCAUUGACGCUGAGGUGCGAAAGCGUGGGGAGCAAACAG
This 252-nucleotide ribosomal RNA is filed under the name uncultured bacterium. RNAcentral describes it as "partial 16S ribosomal RNA". It matches the Rfam family "Bacterial small subunit ribosomal RNA", at positions 524 to 775 of the family's 1533-position model. The record is from RNAcentral.